This is an RNA transcript of Pseudopodoces humilis (Tibetan ground-tit), 1608 nucleotides long. It is a transcript of the gene named small muscle protein X-linked, with no coding region annotated. The record is from RefSeq and is a predicted model, not a curated record. Lineage: Eukaryota; Metazoa; Chordata; Aves; Passeriformes; Paridae.
CCCACUCCAGCCUGGAGCAGCACUCAGUGCCGUCCAGGCUGAAAGCAUCGGAGCUAUUUCAGACACAUUAAAAGGGUCACAGGCAAUACCUCAGCUGGUUAGAAGAAGGUACCUCUUUCAGCAUCAAAAGGAGGGAUAAGCCUCUGUCGUAAAAAUGUCAAAACAACCAGCAUCACAUGUCAAAGCCAUUCAGGCUAAUAUUAACAUCCCAAUGGGAGCAUUUCGACCUGGUGCAGGCCACCCUCAUAAAAGAAAAGAACUUACACCUGAAGAAGUGGAGGAGAAUGUUCCUGCUUCAACAGAGGAGGAGAAAGAGAAGAAGUUGUUCCCAGGAGCUAAGAAACUUCCAGGUCCUGCUGUCAACUUGUCAGAGAUUCAGAACAUAAAGAGUGAGCUGAAAUAUGUCCCCAAAGCUGAACAGUAGCUGGGAGAAGCAGUUCUCAAGAAAAGAAGAGCUCUCUCUGUGAAGACGAGGCAUAUUUUCAGUUUUUCAGCCCAUUUUGCUGAAAGUAAAGUCUGACAAGUGAAACUGGAUGGAUUCCAAUGAAUGGAGAAAAUUUCAAAUAUUUUAUAUAUUUGUAUGAAGACCAUGAACUUCCCAACUCUUCAAUACCCUGUAGGAAGUAUCUUCUUUGUACAUUUAUAUCAAUGCUUUCUUGUUGUCCAUUUUGUUUAAUAUAGGAAAGUAGUGCUGAAAUAGAACAAAGAAACUAGCAAUGAAUAUAGGAAUGAUUUUGACCUGAGAACAGGGAGUAGUGUAAUUUGAAGCUUGAGCAACACUAGAAAAAAACUUUUAAAAAUUACAUAAUUAUUUUCAAUUAAUUUCUUUCUAUUUGAAAAAUGUCAAUGUGUGCAAAAGAGUUUUUAAAUGACUUCACAAAAUGCAGAAUAAAUGAGGAAUAUAACACCUUUUGUCCUAUUGUGAGUUCCUGUUAUAGAAGAGGAAUCAUGUAUUGUGUAAUAAAGGAAAUGAAAAUAUUAAAAUCAAUGGUCUUUCUGGUGAGUUGAGCCAAAUUCUUCUUUUGUUGUAGAGACAAAGUGUUUCCUUUCCUCCGGAAUCUAAAAUGCACUGCAUUCCUGUUCUGAUACUUUUGCUUCACCUUUAUACAAAAAAUAUACAAGAUGUGAGGUAGCUGACAGAAAACCUGCAACCUUUAUUCAAAUAACCAGUCAUCCGGCCUUGAUGGAACACACUCAUGAAUGUAGCUUGGAGGAUCAUUAUCUUCAGAAGCUCAAAUCAAAAGGAGACAUUGGAAUAUGGAUGCUGGGCAAAAGUAAUGUAUGAUCACAGAGCAAAAGUAAUGUAUGAUCACACCACCUCUUAUACAGUGACUAAUCCUUGAUGCUUGCAUUAUAUGGACUGUACAUAAAAGAAGACUGCUUGAUGCAUAUUGUAUUUUUGGAAAUGAGAUCCUAUUGUAAGAGAAAUUUAAUACACUGUGCCUCCUUGUUCUCUUUUAUGUUACUUACAGUAAAGGGAUAUGAGGACCUGUUUUUAAUAACUUUCUUCUAAUGUUGAUUGAAACUAUUCUACAUACUUCGAAUCUCUCUGCCUGGCUCUUGUUUAUUCAAAUAAAAUAAAGAUAAUUAUUCUGGUUAGAAAACAGA